This 266-nucleotide ribosomal RNA is filed under the name uncultured bacterium. RNAcentral describes it as "partial 16S ribosomal RNA". It matches the Rfam family "Bacterial small subunit ribosomal RNA", at positions 524 to 791 of the family's 1533-position model. The record is from RNAcentral.
UACGGGGGGUGCGAGCGUUGUCCGGAAUUACUGGGCGUAAAGAGCUCGUAGGUGGUUUGUCGCGUUGUUCGUGAAAACCGGGGGCUUAACCCUCGGCGUGCGGGCGAUACGGGCAGACUGGAGUACUGCAGGGAGACUGGAAUUCCUGGUGUAGCGGUGGAAUGCGCAGAUAUCAGGAGGAACACCAAUGGCGAAGGCAGCUCGCUGGACGGUACUGACGCUGAGGCGCGAAAGCGUGGGGGAGCAAACAGGAUAGAUACCCAGUA